UCCUCACAACCUCUUCAGAGGAAGACUCCAUUACUGGUCUGGAGAACCUAUUCCAGUGCUCCAUCAACCAUAUGGAUGGAUGGACGCAGCCCAGAUGUAUAGUGCAGCCCAGAUGGAUGGUUUUGGUGCAAAGAAAGAGACAAUGCUAACUUUUUGCCUUUUCAACUAUGAGAAAGGCUAAUAAACCACAGAGAUGGAUGCGCUAGGAGAGCAGUGCUAAAAGGGAUCUGCUAAUUGGGCAGCAGGCUACAACAACACUCCAAGUGUCUUUGUGAAAGGGCCUUAUUAGCUAUCAAUCAGACAAAUAACACUAACUUUCUUCUGCCUCCUGUCCUUUGGUAACUUGUCAGUGAGAAGACCAACUCCAAAGAAAGACCUCACACCUCUAUUUGGGGUCAUUCAGAGUGAACAGAAUUCAAAAGUGAUUAAAUACUGUAAACGAAUGUUGGCAAGCUACCGCUUGAAUUCAUAUUUAAUC
RNAcentral lists this long non-coding RNA (478 nucleotides) under Anas platyrhynchos platyrhynchos (common mallard). Its description in RNAcentral is "lncRNA (ENSAPLG00000022541.1)". The record is from RNAcentral. Lineage: Eukaryota; Metazoa; Chordata; Aves; Anseriformes; Anatidae.